RNAcentral lists this ribosomal RNA (407 nucleotides) under Brevibacillus fluminis. Its description in RNAcentral is "bacterial SSU rRNA". It matches the Rfam family "Bacterial small subunit ribosomal RNA", at positions 1 to 414 of the family's 1533-position model. Lineage: Bacteria; Bacillati; Bacillota; Bacilli; Caryophanales; Paenibacillaceae. The record is from RNAcentral.
UGGAGAGUUUGAUCCUGGCUCAGGACGAACGCUGGCGGCGUGCCUAAUACAUGCAAGUCGAGCGAGUCCCUUCGGGGGCUAGCGGCGGACGGGUGAGUAACACGUAGGCAACCUGCCUGUAAGACUGGGAUAACAUAGGGAAACUUAUGCUAAUACCAGAUAGGGUUUUGGAUCGCAUGAUCCGAAACGGAAAGAUGGCGCAAGCUAUCACUUACAGAUGGGCCUGCGGCGCAUUAGCUAGUUGGUGGGGUAACGGCCUACCAAGGCGACGAUGCGUAGCCGACCUGAGAGGGUGACCGGCCACACUGGGACUGAGACACGGCCCAGACUCCUACGGGAGGCAGCAGUAGGGAAUUUUCCACAAUGGACGAAAGUCUGAUGGAGCAACGCCGCGUGAACGAUGAAGG